UGGGGAAUAUUGCACAAUGGACGGAAGUCUGAUGCAGCGACGCCGCGUGGGGGAUGAAGGCUUUCGGGUUGUAAACUCCUUUCAGUACAGAAGAAGCUUUAUUGUGACGGUAUGUGCAGAAGAAGCGCCGGCUAACUACGUGCCAGCAGCCGCGGUAAUACGUAGGGCGCGAGCGUUGUCCGGAAUUAUUGGGCGUAAAGAGCUCGUAGGCGGUUUGUCGCGUCUGCUGUGAAAGACCGGGGCUUAACUCCGGGGCUGCAGUGGGUACGGGCAGGCUGGAGGGCGGUAGGGGUAACCGGAAUUCCUGGUGUAGCGGUGGAAUGCGCAGAUAUCAGGAGGAACACCGAUGGCGAAGGCAGGUUACUGGGCCGUUACUGACGCUGAGGAGCGAAAGCAUGGGGAGCGAACAGG
RNAcentral lists this ribosomal RNA (411 nucleotides) under Verrucomicrobiota bacterium. Its description in RNAcentral is "Verrucomicrobia bacterium partial 16S ribosomal RNA". It matches the Rfam family "Bacterial small subunit ribosomal RNA", at positions 355 to 776 of the family's 1533-position model. The record is from RNAcentral. Lineage: Bacteria; Pseudomonadati; Verrucomicrobiota.